RNAcentral lists this ribosomal RNA (440 nucleotides) under uncultured Sphingomonadaceae bacterium. RNAcentral's name for it is "bacterial SSU rRNA". It matches the Rfam family "Bacterial small subunit ribosomal RNA", at positions 338 to 795 of the family's 1533-position model. Lineage: Bacteria; Pseudomonadati; Pseudomonadota; Alphaproteobacteria; Sphingomonadales; Sphingomonadaceae. The record is from RNAcentral.
CCUACGGGGGGCUGCAGUGGGGAAUAUUGGACAAUGGGCGAAAGCCUGAUCCAGCAAUGCCGCGUGAGUGAUGAAGGCCUUAGGGUUGUAAAGCUCUUUUACCAGGGAUGAUAAUGACAGUACCUGGAGAAUAAGCUCCGGCUAACUCCGUGCCAGCAGCCGCGGUAAUACGGAGGGAGCUAGCGUUGUUCGGAAUUACUGGGCGUAAAGCGCACGUAGGCGGCGAUUCAAGUCAGAGGUGAAAGCCCGGGGCUCAACCCCGGAACUGCCUUUGAAACUAGAUUGCUAGAAUCCUGGAGAGGCGAGUGGAAUUCCGAGUGUAGAGGUGAAAUUCGUAGAUAUUCGGAAGAACACCAGUGGCGAAGGCGACUCGCUGGACAGGUAUUGACGCUGAGGUGCGAAAGCGUGGGGAGCAAACAGGAUUAGAUACCCGAGUAGUC